CGUCCUCCUCCCUUCUCUCAUCAGUCACCAGCCGCCUCUCUCUCUCACAAAGCUCCGCCGCUGCGGAAGCUUCGCCGGGAAGCAGCGGCGAUAAGCCGCCGUCUGCUGCUGUUCCCGGAGUCGCGGCCUGGAGUUGCAGAGCUCCGAAAUCCGGCGAAUCAGUCUCUAUCGCGCCGAGGUCCGGCGCCUCCUUCUCUCUUCCUCAAUCUCGCUCUAAUCUCUCCUAAAUCAAACGCUCCUUUCGGUUCUCUCUCGAUCUGUAUUCAGCCGAGGAAUCCACCGCCGCUGCAACUGGAUUCCGGCGAGCACCAUCGACUGGGAGCCGCUGGAGUGCCGCUGGAGUCCGCUUCUGCUUCGCCGGGAGUCGAGCUGUCGUCGCCUGGAGCUGCUGCUGCUCGCCCGGAGUCGCCGCUGGCUGGCCUGCGAUCGACGGCCAGCAGCUCGCUGGAGGAGCGCCGCCGUCAGCCGCUGCCGUUGGCAGCAAGAAU
This 488-nucleotide long non-coding RNA is filed under the name Salvia miltiorrhiza (redroot sage). RNAcentral's name for it is "long non-coding RNA (SMIL_LNC002698)". The record is from RNAcentral. Lineage: Eukaryota; Viridiplantae; Streptophyta; Magnoliopsida; Lamiales; Lamiaceae.